Molecule: long non-coding RNA, 472 nt
Filed under: Homo sapiens (human)
Lineage: Eukaryota; Metazoa; Chordata; Mammalia; Primates; Hominidae
Description: non-protein coding lnc-MECOM-2:1
Source: RNAcentral
AUGAACACAAAGGGAAAGAGGAGAGGCACUUGAUACGUGUUCUCUAGGCCUUUUAGAAAACAUGGAGCUGUUCCUUUGGACAUGUACAUGAGAGUUUAUAAGAAAGGUGAUAUUGUAGACAUCCAGGGAAUGAAUACUGAUCAAAAAGGAAUGUCCUACAAGUGUUACGAAGGCAAAACUGGGAGGGUCUACAAUGUUACACAGCAUGCUGUUGGCACUGUUGUAAGCAAACAAGUUAUGGGCAAGGUUCUUGUCAGGAGAAUUAUUGUUCAUAUUGAGCAUAUUAAGCACUUUAAGGGCUGAGGCAGCUUCCUGAAACUUGUGAAGGAAAAUGAUCAGAAAAGAAGAAAGCCAAAGAGAAAGUCACCUGGGUUCAAGAGAAGUGCCAGCCUGCUCCACCCAGAGAUGCACACUUUGGGAGAACCAGUGAGAAGGAGCCUGAGCUGCCGGAACCCAGUCGCUAUGGAUUCAU